This 605-nucleotide microRNA precursor is filed under the name Bovine herpesvirus type 1.2 strain K22. RNAcentral describes it as "miRNA Bhv1-mir-B8-2". The stretch from base 539 to 605 matches the Rfam family "mir-B8 microRNA precursor family". The record is from RNAcentral. Lineage: Duplodnaviria; Heunggongvirae; Peploviricota; Herviviricetes; Herpesvirales; Orthoherpesviridae.
UUAUUUUGCGCGUCGCCACCAGAUGGCGCCAUCCCCCUCCCACUCGGGUCGUAGCCCCCCUGAGUUUCUAUUCGUCCUUUUGUGCCCCCCCCCCUCCCCUCCCCCCUGUUGACUCGGGCGCGGCUGGAUUGAUGCGGGGUGGGGUGGGGGGGUGGGUGGGGGGGUGGAGGGACCACAGAGAAGGAUAUCGACACACAGUUUCGGUCAAUAGAUGAUCAAUAGCUGAAACUUUAAAGUCCAAUCGGCGAAAAUAAAUAUCGGCGAGGGUCGAUCGAUUAACGGGGCGCAUAUGCGGCCGGUUGUACAAUUGGCAAUCGAUCUAACCGAUAUUGAUAGAUUGGUAUCGGGCCAUCAGAUUAAAUCAAUACGAUUGAUCUGUAAGCGCGAUCGAUGUAUCGGGCCGUUUGGGCCGCCAGACCCAAAUCGAUUGGCGGAUCGAUUAUGAAGAAAGGAAGACCCUCCCGCGCGCGCCGCGCCGGAGUUCGCGCCAUGCGGGUUUUUAGGGCCCUGCUCGGGCCCCCCCUCCACUUGGACAUCGCCCCCGCGCGGGCAAAAAAUCCAAUGGCGGAUAAUCGAGAGCUAUUGUAUUUUUGCGCCAGCGGGGG